This 1341-nucleotide long non-coding RNA is filed under the name Podarcis muralis (Common wall lizard). RNAcentral's name for it is "lncRNA (ENSPMRG00000009553.1)". Lineage: Eukaryota; Metazoa; Chordata; Lepidosauria; Squamata; Lacertidae. The record is from RNAcentral.
AGCAGGGGCAAUCAGAAUAAGGGCCACUAACUGACGGCUGCUUCAGGACUUUAAAUUGUGCUCUUAUAUCAAAUUUCCUUUUCUGCGUAUACUGUAAUGUUUUACUGUUGCUAUGGCCAUUGGCUAAUGCGAAUAAAGUUUUAUCUUCUUCUUCAAGACAUGAAUUUAGAUGUACGCAUUAGCCAAUCUUCUGCAAUAAUUAAAAACAGUUUAUAACCAUUUGAAGUGUCUGGCUAAAUUGUUAUAAUUAUUGUACCCCCUGAUGGCAAAGCAUUGGAAACACCUGGAGGUUGCUGUGGGGUCUUUCCUGUACAGUUCUGCCAAUUUCCAUUCUGCCUCUCUCUUUCCUCUUCCUUUCAAAACAGCCAGGCAAAAUUAUGCUAAGAUUCAGCACAAUGUACACUCAUUACUUGGAACGCCUCCUCUGUUUUUCCUACCUCGUAUGACCUCAAGGCAAGGCUAAUGAGAGAAACCAAAGCAGCAGCUGCCUGUGGUGUCUGGAAGCAGCAGGUUACAAUAGCGCUCAAGGGGGAGAGGCAGGCUGUCAGAACCACAUUUCGGCAGCAGAGCUUAGAGAUGUGCAUCACAUCCUUCUAUAGCUUUCUGAACACAACUCGAGCUGAUCAUUAGUGAUGGAUGAAUUUGUACUGGCUCAGUUUUGAAUGGUUCACUAUUUACAAACAUUGUUGCAGAAUAUGUUUCAAACAAUGCCAUUUGCUUGUGUGAAGAAACAUAGGAAAUUGCCUUUUACUGAAUCAAAACAAUGGUUCAUCUACCUCUGUAUUGUCAACACUGAUUGGAAGCAUCUUUCCUGGCUUUCAGCAGCCCUCCCAUUCGCCGAAUCUUCAGACUUAGUAGAUCAGCUCCAACCUCUUCCUGUUCUGAGAGGCUGAGUCUAUUCGUGCCUAUUUGUGCUUCCUGUGAGCUUUGACUGUGUUCUAGCCUGCUCUCAAGCUACUGCCUUAUCAGCUUGCCCAUCAACCUCAGGAAGAGUUGAAAUCUGCAGCUGCCAGCUCUCCCCUGCCUGACUAACAUCUAAGCCUCUCUGUUCCUGGCUGCUUUCUGCAGUUGGCUGCAAAUCUUUGCUUGGAGCUGGCUCAUUCCUGACACUUACCUGGGAAUAAGCCACACUGAUUUCCAUGGGACUUAACUCUGACGAGACAAGUUUAUGGGAGACAAAGGAUGAGCAAGGAGAAUCCUCAAUGAUCCAUUGGGCAUUAGAUAUUGGUCAUAAUAUAGCUAUGGAAGCUUGGGAACGAUUGUGGAAUAUGGAUAUAAAAUUUGCAGCAUGUUAUGCUUUAAGAGAAAAUCAUAUGAAAAGGAUGUAUUGAUGGUAUCUAA